RNAcentral lists this ribosomal RNA (468 nucleotides) under uncultured bacterium. RNAcentral describes it as "partial 16S ribosomal RNA". It matches the Rfam family "Bacterial small subunit ribosomal RNA", at positions 28 to 507 of the family's 1533-position model. The record is from RNAcentral.
GACGAACGCUGGCGGCGUGCUUAACACAUGCAAGUCGAACGGAAAGGCGCUGCUUUUGUGGGGUGCUCGAGUGGCGAACGGGUGAGUAACACGUGAGUAACCUGCACUUGACUUUGGGAUAACUUCAGGAAACUGGGGCUAAUACCGGAUAUGAGCUCCUGAUGCAUGUUGGGGGUUGGAAAGUUUCGGCGGUAUGGGAUGGACUCGCGGGUUAUCAGCUUGUUGGUGGGGUAGGGGCUUACCAAGGCUUUGAAGGGUAGCCGGCCUUAGGGGGUGACCGGCCACAUUGGGACUGAGGUAGGGCCCAGACUCCUACGGGAGGCAGCAGUGGGGAGUAUGACACAAUGGGCGGAAGUCUGAUGCAGCAACGCCGCGUGCGGGAUGACGGCCUUCGGGUUGUAAACCGCUUUCGCCUGUGACGAAGCGUGAGUGACGGUAAUGGGUAAAGAAGCACCGGCUAACUACGUG